RNAcentral lists this ribosomal RNA (591 nucleotides) under Hesperomyces virescens. Its description in RNAcentral is "LSU rRNA". It matches the Rfam family "Eukaryotic large subunit ribosomal RNA", at positions 72 to 665 of the family's 3401-position model. The record is from RNAcentral. Lineage: Eukaryota; Fungi; Ascomycota; Laboulbeniomycetes; Laboulbeniales; Laboulbeniaceae.
GGAUUGCCUCAGUAUCGGCGAGUGAAGCGGCAAAAGCUUAAAUUUGAAAUCUGGCACUAGCCCGAGUUGUAAUUUGUAGAGGAUGCACAUCUUCAGCAAGAGGCUUUGAGUCUAAGUUCCCUGGAACGGGAUAUCAUGGAGGGUGAGAAUCCCGUACAUGGUUCAUUGUCUCUUGCAUCAUGAAGCUCCUUCAACGAGUCGAGUUGUUUGGGAAUGCAGCUCAAAACAGGAGGUAAAUUCCUUCCAAAGCUAAAUAUUAGCCAGAGACCGAUAGCGAACAAGUAGAGUGAUCGAAAGAUGAAAAGCACUUUGGAAAGAGAGUUAAAAAGUAUGUGAAAUUGUUGAAAGGGAAGCGCUUGCAACCAGAUUUUUCACUGUAGGUUAGAUCAUCUAGGCUCUUUGGCCUAGUGUACUCUACCUAUAUUGUGUGCCAGCAUCGGUUUGUUAGUCGAGAGAAAAAGGUAGUGUGUUGUCAAUUCCUCCGGGUAUUUGGCAUGCAUUUACAGGUACAUCUUGAACCCAGACCGAGGACAGCGCUUUUGGCAUGGAUGCUGGUGUAAUGGUUGUAAGCGGCCCGUCUUGAAACACGGA